This 372-nucleotide ribosomal RNA is filed under the name uncultured organism. RNAcentral describes it as "partial 16S ribosomal RNA". It matches the Rfam family "Bacterial small subunit ribosomal RNA", at positions 527 to 896 of the family's 1533-position model. The record is from RNAcentral.
GUAGGUGGCAAGCGUUGUCCGGAAUUAUUGGGCGUAAAGCGCGCGCAGGCGGUUCUUUAAGUCUGAUGUGAAAGCCCACGGCUCAACCGUGGAGGGUCAUUGGAAACUGGAGAACUUGAGUACAGAAGAGGAAAGCGGAAUUCCACGUGUAGCGGUGAAAUGCGUAGAGAUGUGGAGGAACACCAGUGGCGAAGGCGGCUUUCUGGUCUGUAACUGACACUGAGGCGCGAAAGCGUGGGGAGCAAACAGGAUUAGAUACCCUGGUAGUCCACGCCGUAAACGAUGAGUGCUAAGUGUUAGGGGGUUUCCGCCCCCCUUAGUGCUGCAGCUAACGCAUUAAGCACUCCGCCUGGGAGUACGGCCGCAAGGCUG